GCAAGUCGAACGAGAAGAUACCGGUAUUUAUAUUGGUUGAUUCUAGUGGCGCACGGGUGAGUAACACGUGAACGACAUACCCUGGAGUGGGGGAUAGCCCGCCGAAAGGCGGAUUAAUACCCCAUGGUUUCCUUCGGGAUAAAGAUGGCCUUCGGGCUGUUGGUACGAGAUUGGUACGCGCCCUAUCAGCUUGUUGGUGAGGUAAAGGCUCACCAAGGCAACGACGGGUACGUGGUUUGAGAGGAUGAUC
RNAcentral lists this ribosomal RNA (250 nucleotides) under uncultured bacterium. RNAcentral describes it as "partial 16S ribosomal RNA". It matches the Rfam family "Bacterial small subunit ribosomal RNA", at positions 57 to 305 of the family's 1533-position model. The record is from RNAcentral.